AAUACAUGCAAGUAGAACGCUGAAGCUUGGUGCUUGCACCGAGCGGAUGAGUUGCGAACGGGUGAGUAACGCGUAGGUAACCUGCCUCUUAGCGGGGGAUAACUAUUGGAAACGAUAGCUAAUACCGCAUAAAAGUCGAUAUCGCAUGAUAUUGAUUUGAAAGGUGCAAUUGCAUCACUAAGAGAUGGACCUGCGUUGUAUUAGCUAGUUGGUGAGGUAACGGCUCACCAAGGCGACGAUACAUAGCCGACCUGAGAGGGUGAUCGGCCACACUGGGACUGAGACACGGCCCAGACUCCUACGGGAGGCAGCAGUAGGGAAUCUUCGGCAAUGGGGGCAACCCUGACCGAGCAACGCCGCGUGAGUGAAGAAGGUUUUCGGAUCGUAAAGCUCUGUUGUAAGAGAAGAACGAGUGUGAGAGUGGAAAGUUCACACUGUGACGGUAACAUACCAGAAAGGGACGGCUAACUACGUGCCAGCAGCCGCGGUAAUACGUAGGUCCCGAGCGUUAUCCGGAUUUAUUGGGCGUAAAGCGAGCGCAGGCGGUUAGAUAAGUCUGAAGUUAAAGGCUGUGGCUUAACCAUAGUACGCUUUGGAAACUGUUUAACUUGAGUGCAGAAGGGGAGAGUGGAAUUCCAUGUGUAGCGGUGAAAUGCGUAGAUAUAUGGAGGAACACCGGUGGCGAAAGCGGCUCUCU
This 697-nucleotide ribosomal RNA is filed under the name uncultured Bacilli bacterium. RNAcentral describes it as "bacterial SSU rRNA". It matches the Rfam family "Bacterial small subunit ribosomal RNA", at positions 50 to 730 of the family's 1533-position model. Lineage: Bacteria; Bacillati; Bacillota; Bacilli. The record is from RNAcentral.